Molecule: long non-coding RNA, 2762 nt
Filed under: Eucalyptus grandis
Lineage: Eukaryota; Viridiplantae; Streptophyta; Magnoliopsida; Myrtales; Myrtaceae
Description: long non-coding RNA (EGRA_LNC005606)
Source: RNAcentral
GAUUUCUGAUUUUUCUUGUCUCCUCUUAGCUGGCUUCUCACGCUCGGCAACCCUCCCAUCCGCUCAUUAUUCCUGCUUUUGUUUUAAUCUCUCUACCGUGCGAAGCAAUCCCCAUCCAAUCUCUCUCCAUCUCCGUUACUUCUCUUCCUCAACCGAAGCCCACACACUCCACUCACGCCAGCCACGAGAUCUUCAAUUUAAGGUGCUCCUCGCCACUUGCCCAUCAACCAGCAUCUCUCGGUCAACACCUGCAAGAACGAAGCCGUUGGUUGACCGCUUGAAGCCCACGACUCCACCGAGUUCCUUCACGUUGCCACCUGCCCGCUCCUCCUUCUGCUUCGGUCAACAAACGAAACCGCCGAAGCCCAAGUCCAACGUCUUCAGCCCGAGCAUAUCGUGGAGUCCACGAAGACAGCGUCCAUGAGCAGCUCCCAUCUUUAGUCUUCCCCUGUGGCGUGCCCUCAGCUCCACGCCAGCACGCCAGUCAACUCCAACGCCCACGGAAGACCACCGAUUCAACCAAGUCUUCAUCUGCGAAAUCCUCCGAGCAUCCUCACGCCGCCAGCAACAUCCACCGAGCAACACCACCGAAGAGAAGCCGCACGUAUCCACCGAAUUCUGCCGUUUGUCCGUGCUUCCCUCCACGCGUCCGAGCCCCAACUCAUUCGGUCCAUCAUCUCGCCGUGAAGCCUCGAGAUCCACCGAGUUGCCAACCGUUGCCAGCGUCUUCGGUCUCCUCAGUCAGCGAAUCCAGCUGCCUGAAGCCCAACAAAUCCUGCAGUUUCAGUCUUCUUUUGUUCGUGGGCCAACCACAGCGAGCCCAUUCCAUUUUUCAGUGGCCCAACCUCAGCUCUUUGGAAGCCUGUGAUCAAGCAGCCCACAAGCCCAGUUCAGUUCAAUGACAACCCAGACCAGCAAGUUUUAGUUUCAGCUUUGGGCCCAGCCUAUUUUCAGCCCAGUUGAAGUCUUCAAGCCCAGUUUUUGAAGCCCAAUCGCAGCUAGACCCAAGUCCAAGAGCAAGCCCAUUCCAGUGCAAGGACAAAUCUCAUUUGGGCUGAGAUUUGUUGGGCUAAGUUUAAGCCCGGCCCAAGUUCGUCGACGCCGCCGAAAAUUUCGAUUUCGGCCGUCGUCGAGUUGUUGUCGCGGUGAACCGGUUUUCGCGAUACACCGGUGAGUUUAUACUCUAAACUCUGCUUAGUAGGUUAAUGACGUUUAAGGGGUGUUUAGAUUUAUUUUAUUAGGAAUUAGGUGGUUAGUUAGAUUAAAUUAGAAAUUGAAUUAUUUAAUUGAGCAUGUUAGGUGGUUAGCAUGGUUUAGCUAAGGCCUAAAUAAAUUGUACUGUUUAUCUAGAAGGGUUCGGGAAUUUCUCCGAGUCCGUAUUGGUUAUUAAUUUAAUGAUUUUGGCCUAGGUUAUUAUUUGUAGAAUUUAAAUUGAUUUAUUUAAUUGAUUUAAGUAAUUAUUUAAUUAUUAAUUAUUUUUCCGGAAAUUAGGCCGAGAUAGUCGGUGACCGGAAUUUCGUGCUGAUUGCAACGGUGUGGUUAAUUUCUGCAAUUGAGUGCUAAGUUAUGCAAAUUGAGUGCUGAUUGGAUUUUUGGUAUUUAAUUCCAAAAUUGUGAAUUUCCAAUAUUUAUUCAGAAAAUCUCAGGUGUCGGGUUUUGAUACCGAAAAUGGUUUUUAGUACUAUAUGAAAUAGUGGGAUUUCAAAAAGGAGGAAUAUCAAUUUUUCUGGAUCAAGUUGACCGUGUACCCACACACGAGUAAUUUCAUGUGAAUUUCUAAUACGAAGAAAAAGGCCAGGCUCACUAUUUUAAUUGAAGCAUUUGAGUGCAAUGCACGGUGUCCUGGGCCAUAUUUGAGUGAUCGUGUGAUGGUUAUGAGAAAUCGUCCCGGGCUGUUGAGCUGGACGUUAUCCCUAUGUGGGAUACCCCCUGGACAACGGGAAACCGGUCGCAGUUGAUUCUGGACCCUAUGCUCCUUCGGAAAAGCCGUCUAAUAAAGAGACGUGCCGUGCUCAAUGGGGUGAGACGAAGCCUGGCAAUGCCAGAAGACCGCCGAACUGAGAGUAGGCCGUACUAUAUGCCGAGAUCAAAACUAGGAACGCAUGAUUAAUUAAGUGUGGCGUUUCAAUUAUUGGAGCUUAUUUGUUGCUCAUGCUCUCAGGUUGUCUUUGAGAUAAAUUGUACUGACCUGCAGGGUGGGUCUGAGACGAGGUAAGUCUCUUUGAUUGUGUGAUUGCGUGCUUAGGACUCUUCUUGGCGUAUUUCCCUCCUAAUUGGGGUUUAGAGCUUAGACUCGCUGAGAUGAUAUCUCACCCCGUUGUGGGACAACAUUUUCAGGGUCGUUGAGUGGAGGACCUGGAGCUGAGAGGAGGUGAUCGGAAGCAUAGAUCAAUUAGGACCGCUUCUUUUUGGAGGGCCAGUCUUUUGUAGUCUUUGGCCAUAGACCUGUGUUCAUGACUCAGUGUAUAUAUAAAAGCAUGUUUGUGUAUGAAUCUAUUAUACUGCUUUUCUAUCCCGAGAUGAUUACUGUCAGGGGAUUUCUUUUCGCUUCCGCAUGUGCAAUAAAAUAAAAAGGGUCGGCGACUCAUCUUGGGAAGUCGCAAAUUAUUAUCGACCAGAUAGGGAUGAGCACGUGCUCGAAGUCCGGGGCGUGACACAUUUUUCUUUUUUGAGUGACGGUUAUCCACAUGUUAUAUAUAAUGCAAUCCCAUAUUUUUUAGGGAUGGUUUUUUAAAUUAAAAUUUAUCCUUAGGCAUUUCCCC